CGCUUGAAUGGAAUUCUUCGGAAGGAAGCUCAAGUGACUGAGUGGCGGACGGGUGAGUAACGCGUGGGUAACCUGCCUCAUACAGGGGGAUAACAGUUAGAAAUGACUGCUAAUACCGCAUAAGCACACGUGAUCGCAUGAUCGAGUGUGAAAAACUCCGGUGGUAUGAGAUGGACCCGCGUCUGAUUAGCUAGUUGGUGGGGUAACGGCCCACCAAGGCGACGAUCAGUAGCCGGCCUGAGAGGGUGAACGGCCACAUUGGGACUGAGACACGGCCCAAACUCCUACGGGAGGCAGCAGUGGGGAAUAUUGCACAAUGGGGGAAACCCUGAUGCAGCGACGCCGCGUGAAGGAUGAAGUAUUUCGGUAUGUAAACUUCUAUCAGCAGGGAAGAAAAUGACGGUACCUGACUAAGAAGCCCCGGCUAACUACGUGCCAGCAGCCGCGGUAAUACGUAGGGGGCAAGCGUUAUCCGGAUUUACUGGGUGUAAAGGGAGCGUAGACGGCAGUGCAAGUCUGAAGUGAAAGCCCGGGGCUCAACCCCGGGACUGCUUUGGAAACUGUGCAGCUAGAGUGUCGGAGAGGCAAGCGGAAUUCCUAGUGUAGCGGUGAAAUGCGUAGAUAUUAGGAGGAACACCAGUGGCGAA
RNAcentral lists this ribosomal RNA (647 nucleotides) under uncultured Lachnospiraceae bacterium. Its description in RNAcentral is "bacterial SSU rRNA". It matches the Rfam family "Bacterial small subunit ribosomal RNA", at positions 60 to 719 of the family's 1533-position model. The record is from RNAcentral. Lineage: Bacteria; Bacillati; Bacillota; Clostridia; Lachnospirales; Lachnospiraceae.